Molecule: ribosomal RNA, 187 nt
Filed under: uncultured Pseudomonadales bacterium
Lineage: Bacteria; Pseudomonadati; Pseudomonadota; Gammaproteobacteria; Pseudomonadales
Description: partial 16S ribosomal RNA
Rfam family: Bacterial small subunit ribosomal RNA
Source: RNAcentral
GGGGAUAGCUCGGGGAAACUCGAAUUAAUACCGCAUACGACCUACGGGUGAAAGGGGGCGCAAGCUCUUGCUAUUAGAUGAGCCUAAAUCAGAUUAGCUAGUUGGUGGGGUAAAGGCCCACCAAGGCGACGAUCUGUAACUGGUCUGAGAGGAUGAUCAGUCACACCGGAACUGAGACACGGUCCGG